This 443-nucleotide ribosomal RNA is filed under the name uncultured Helicobacteraceae bacterium. Its description in RNAcentral is "bacterial SSU rRNA". It matches the Rfam family "Bacterial small subunit ribosomal RNA", at positions 29 to 505 of the family's 1533-position model. The record is from RNAcentral. Lineage: Bacteria; Pseudomonadati; Campylobacterota; Epsilonproteobacteria; Campylobacterales; Helicobacteraceae.
AGUGAACGCUGGCGGCGUGCCUAACACAUGCAAGUCGAACGAUGAAGCCCAGCUUGCUGGGUGGAUUAGUGGCGCACGGGUGAGUAAUGCAUAGGUUACGUGCCCCUUAGUCUGGGAUAGCCACUGGAAACGGUGAUUAAUACCGGAUAUUCCCUACGGGGGAAAGUUUUUCGCUAAGGGAUCGGCCUAUGUCGUAUCAGCUAGUUGGUGAGGUAAAGGCUCACCAAGGCAAUGACGCGUAGCUGGUUUGAGAGAAUGAUCAGCCACACUGGAACUGAGACACGGUCCAGACUCCUACGGGAGGCAGCAGUGGGGAAUAUUGCGCAAUGGGGGAAACCCUGACGCAGCAACGCCGCGUGGAGGAUGACGGUUUUCGGAUUGUAAACUCCUUUUUUCAGAGAAGAUAAUGACGGUAUCUGAAGAAUAAGCACCGGCUAACUCCG